Molecule: ribosomal RNA, 253 nt
Filed under: uncultured bacterium
Lineage: Bacteria
Description: partial 16S ribosomal RNA
Rfam family: Bacterial small subunit ribosomal RNA
Source: RNAcentral
GACGUAGGAUGCGAGCGUUAUUCGGAUUUAUUGGGCGUAAAGCGUACGUAGGCGGCUGUUUAAGUCUGGUGUUAAAGCUAGGGGCUCAACCCCUGUGGUGCAUCGGAUACUGGGCAGCUUGAGUGCGGUAGGGGAAGGUGGAAUUCCGAGUGUAGCGGUGAAAUGCGUAGAUAUUCGGAAGAACACCGGUGGCGAAGGCGACCUUCUGGGCCGCAACUGACGCUGAGGCACGAAAGCCUGGGGAGCGAACGGG